GUUCGGAAUUACUGAGCGUAAAGCGCACGUAGGCGGAUCAGAAAGUAUAGGGUGAAAUCCCAGGGCUCAACCCUGGAACUGCCUUAUAAACUCCUGGUCUUGAGUUCGAGAGAGGUGAGUGGAAUUCCGAGUGUAGAGGUGAAAUUCGUAGAUAUUCGGAGGAACACCAGUGGCGAAGGCGGCUCACUGGCUCGAUACUGACGCUGAGGUGCGAAAGUGUGGGGAGCAAACAGGAUUAGAUACCCUGGUAGUCCACACCGUAAACGAUGAAUGCCAGUCGUCGGGUAGCAUGCUAUUCGGUGACACACCUAACGGAUUAAGCAUUCCGCCUGGGGAGUACGGUCGCAAGAUUAAAACUCAAAGGAAUUGACGGGGGCCCGCACAAGCGGUGGAGCAUGUGGUUUAAUUCGAUGCAACGCGAAGAACCUUACCAGGGUUUGACAUCCUGCGAACCUCUUGGAAACGAGAGGGUGCCUUCGGGAGCGCAGUGACAGGUGGUGCAUGGCU
This 507-nucleotide ribosomal RNA is filed under the name uncultured Paracoccaceae bacterium. Its description in RNAcentral is "bacterial SSU rRNA". It matches the Rfam family "Bacterial small subunit ribosomal RNA", at positions 543 to 1050 of the family's 1533-position model. The record is from RNAcentral. Lineage: Bacteria; Pseudomonadati; Pseudomonadota; Alphaproteobacteria; Rhodobacterales; Paracoccaceae.